This 29435-nucleotide long non-coding RNA is filed under the name Lynx pardinus (Iberian lynx). The record is from RNAcentral. Lineage: Eukaryota; Metazoa; Chordata; Mammalia; Carnivora; Felidae.
GUGCCGGCGUCCUCAGACGCUCGCGGAAAUCAAAUGGUAAGGCGGGAGGGGCCCCAGCCCCCGCCUGGCGGCCGACGCCCACUCCGCCCUGAAAGGUACAACGCAGGUGUCCGGCGACACAGCGCCUAGCCUCCGGCCCCUCUCUCCCGGGGGCGUGCGCGGCCCACAGUAAAAGGCCAGGCUCUCGGGGGCGCGAUCCCGGCUCAGGGGCUGCCCCGGCUGGGCGCGCGCACCCCUCCAAGGGCGGGUGGGGUGGGAGGGUGAUUGUACCUGUGGCGCAGGCGGGCCAGGGAAUGCGGCGCCGUCAGCCGCUGCGUGUAUUUUGGGCCAUCGCAGGUGCCCGAGCAGCUGCUGCGAAAGGAGCGUCACUGGCCGCGGCGCCGAGGCAGCCAUUCACCAUCUCGCGCGCCCAGCUUUGCGCCUUGAGCUUAGCGCACGCAGCGCUGAGCCGCGGGGGCUUAAGGAUAAAGGGGGACAGUGUUUUCCGGAAAGAAUGCCCCCGUGGGGAGAGAGGGGGAAAGAGAGAAUGACACGAAAUGGGGAGAACACCCACGCGCAAGACAGCUACAGCCACGGUCUUUCGCCAGUUAAGCUCCCAUCUACCCGGCUGUCCUGGCUCCGGGGGCAGAAAGGCGGGAAGGGGGAGCAGCGCCCCGGGCUGGCCGCGCCUGGGGCUCGCGGGAGCCGCUGGCCGAGGUCACCCAAACCCAGCGAGCGAGCCUCGGUCUGCGGGAGAGCCCGCGGGGGGCAGGGGAGCCGCCGCGGCGCGGGAGGGAGCGCGCAGCCUGAGGCCGGUGCUCUGGCGCCGCGCGCCCCCUCCCGGAGCCGCAGGGAACCGGGGUUACCUGGGGAGCCGGGCUUUGUCGGUCACGCUGGCUCUCUGCGGCCCCAGAACUAAUUAAACGCCUCUUUUGGCCAAGGAAAGCCUCGCGCCCGACGGGGUGGGGGCGUGUGGGGGCGGCAUGUGGGCACGGGAAUAAUCAGCCCCAUUCUUGCGCCUGUACAAAACCCGCCGCGCAGCGAGAAGUGAACAGCGGCCGCCUGAAUGGAGGUUUCAAAAGGCGACACCUGCAAGCACGGCCGGUUGUGAAUUGAAUGGAGUCAAGCGCGGCGCCCGCUCGUACCUGAGCCGCGAGCUAUUAGUGUCAGGGGCUCCCGGUCGCCAGGGCGGGGAAGCGCGCGGCCCGGCCGCCCGCGCUGAAUACGGCAAGCUGCCGCGCGGCCGCUCCAUGGGAAUGUCGCCACUUGUGCUGCUCGCGGUCGGGAGGGGGUGCGCUGCCCUUUCAGAGACAGACACAAUUAGGCAAAAUGCUCAAUGAACAUUAUAAAUGAUGUGCGAUCGCUCUGCAGAUUGCCUGGCAAAUCAAAUUAUAUGGUCGCUCGCGGGCUAUUUCCAUGUGCUUUUAAAACUUAAACAGGUAUUCGCCGAUUUAAAAAAAAAAAAAAAAAAGCCGACUCAGGGAUUCCGGAAAAUAACAACUGAAAGACUCGGUGUUGAAUAUUCACACGUCCCCUUUGUUAGCGAUUGACUUCACAAUGGGCUUGGGGAGGGGGUGCGCUUGGACGAGACACAUUUUUUACUGUCUUCCAUACUGCAGAGGAAGGCACCAGAAGUUUGCAUUUAUUACAACUCACAAUUACAGUGGGACCUUCUUUUUUCUUUUAAGACUAAAAUUCUCAUAAUGAAUGGCUUGAAAGCUACUGUCAUUCUAAUCAGAUGGAAGAAACAUUCUAAUCAGAUGGAAGCUGGCCCGGGUGCGCUUGGGGAGGGGCGAGGAAAGACCCGUGCUGCUCCCUGGCACUGAGUGCUAACCCUGGAGGGAGGUGGCUGGGGAAACCGUUGCUCCACGCUCCACGCUGCCCAGGCUCGGGGCCUCGGGCUCAGCCCUGCGGGCCCCUGGCUGCCCACCGGCCUCCCUGCCAGCCGCUGCGCUUCAGGACAAGCAGCGCGUGGGGCGAGCGAGAGCAAGCGGCGCCCAGCGCGGUGCGCCCAGGGCGGCUCCGGCACCGGCACGGGCACGGGCUCCCGGGCACCCUCGCUCCGUCCCGCUUUGGCCCUACGCUCUUUGGCUGGCGACUUGUGGAGGAGAAGGGGCAGCUGGAGGCGCCCAGAUUGCGCGAACCCCCGCCGAGGCCAGGAGUCGCGCCGCAGGCCAGGGACUGUCAACCAGGAAAAGCAGAGUCGAUUUUAGUUUCUAAAAAAGGAAGCAAGGAAGCGGCAGCAAUCCGCUGCCUUCCAUCCCCGCCGACCUCCAUCUCAUUUUCGAUUUUCUACUCUUUUGGUUUUCAGAUAAUUGGGCCGGAGGGAGGGGUACAGAAUUGGGGCUCCUGAAGACAGUUGGCAACUAUAUAUUGCUGAUGAAAGACCAACAGGAAGGAAGACGAAAUCUGGCUUUUUGGUUCGCCUUUGUCACUGGGUCACUGUGUUUUCUUGGGCAAGGAGCUUAACGUCUCUGGCUCAGUUUCCGCAUUCUUGAAAUGGGAAUAAUGUUGCCAGGGUCCGAUUUGUCUUCCUCGCGUUUGUAUUACUUUAGUUGGGAACGGCGAUCUUUUUGGUAGAUUGUUCUUGUUUGUCAGCCUUAAAGUCAAGGGUUAUACACAAACCCGAGAGGUAAAAAGCUCUUAGAAGGACAAAUCUCAGAAGACCAGAGGCCUGAGCACUUGCGUUCCCCUCCCACCUUCCGUCUCCGUCUGUGCAUGUGUGUCACUUUCUGUUGGGACAGGAGGCAAAGAAUGCUCUUCCUAACUGCUUCCCGAUGCUAAGAGGGAGUGAUGAGAGCAGAACCCGACCAAAAGAGCCCAUCUGGCAGCGUGCGCGCGCUUAGAUUCAGAAGGAGGCAGGUCGCGAAUAAAUUUUCAUCUCUGGUCAGAAACUUUUCCUGCUGGUACCGGUGGCCGCUCCGUGAAGAACAAUUUAUGAUGUUCUUUUAAGAAUAAGGAAGGCGAGUUUAGCUGACAAAGAACAUUUCUUUAUCACAGUUCUGGGAGUGCGAGUUCGCUAGUGAGGAUACGGGGAACCCAGGAAAGAGCCAGGUGCGCUGGCCUUGGUGCUGAAGGUAAAGGCCACGCCUUCGGAGGCAACGUCUCCCAAAUCAAUGGCCAGUGAAGCUGCCAAAAGAAAUUGGACUACACCCUCUUAAUACUUCCCUCCCUCCCAGAGGGUGUGCUUGUUUCGUGUGUGUGUGUGUGUGUGUGUGUGUGUGUGUGUACGAGUGUAAAGUGGGAAUAACGUCAAAGCCACUAGCACUAGAACAUAAAGAGAGGCCCACUAAAUUUUAGUUAAUUGAGUGGAUGUUUGGGUACCUUUCUCUUAAUCCCUUCCAUAGCUUAAUCCCUUCCACAAUAUCUCUGGGCUCAGAAAAAGAGGAUUACGUCUCAGAAAAAAAGAAAUGAGGACUGGGACAGAGUGACCUUGGAAAAGUAAAGCUGGUUUUAACUAAUAUUCUAUUCUGAGAUCUCUAAGGAAAGUCUUUUGGUACUGGGUUAAAUGGGUGAUGAAGGGUUCCUGCAUGUCAUUUGUGGGAAACAUUUCUCAGGGGUUAAAACAUGAUUGAAACACCAUGGGCCAACCAAUAUUUCUGUUCACUUUUCUGUCACAAUGUCAUAUUUAAUAAUUAAAAAUCCAUUCCUAUGACCUUCACAUUAAAAAUAGGAACCAAGUAGCAUGUGUGAAGAUGUACACUUUAACAAGUUAAGAAAAGAAACAAAUAUUUGAGUUAAAAGUAAGAAAAUAAGAUACAGUGGAACUAAGUUCUGCACACUUGCAACAGAUGGUCUAAAAUUUUGGCUCCAAACUUCCCAAAAGUUAGUACAAAGAGGAAACAUGAUAAAUGUCAUGAUUCACAGUGGGUAAAAUACAAGUCAACUGCUUUCUCGUAGAAAAACAACUAUUUAUAGUAUGGACACCUGAGAGAAAUUUCUUCUAUGUGUCUCCAUAAAAUGAUGUCUUGAGCACUGACCUCAACAAUGUCCCUAAAGUAAAUGGAUUUGAGUUAUGUGGGCUGGCUUCUAUUUCUGUCACUCAGUAUAGCCCUACAAUAUCCCCUUUGUCUGAGGAAGAACAAAACGGCUGAGAAAAGGACCUGGCAAAUGCCAUGCUUACCCGCUCCCAGUGCACUGUUGGAAUCUGAGUGUGGAGGGCAAGCCAUCCUGGGAGUCCUUAUACUACAGUUCUCGCACGUUCUAAAAGAUUUGCAAAAAUACUCAGGGUACCCAGGUUGGUAUCUAAGGUAAGAUCAAUGACAGGGCUGCCGCUGUCCCUUGUGCUGGAAACCAUCAAAAACAUCUCUGGGCCAGUUUAGUGUCCGUGAAAAUCAUCUGUUUCAACUUCACAUUCCUAGGCUGUAGAUAUUCUGACUCAGUAUCAGUAUCACUGAAAAAACAUAUUUACAAAUAUGUAUACUGAACUUCAUAUCUUUGCAUCCCAGGUAUGCAAUGAGAUCACCAAAAUUGUUUUUCUUCCUGAAGAGAGCUAAACAAAGCUCGCAGCCUUUCCUGCAGCUAUGUGGGACUGUGCGAUUGAAUCCUGACGAAUAGAAUGUAAGCAAAGUGAUACAGAUGACUUCUACCAUUGGCCCCUAAAACUACCCUUGCAUUCUCAUGACAUUGGCCUUUCGUCUCUUGUUAGCUGCCAGCUGGACACAAAGAAUCUCGCAGAGGACUCUGAGGCCCUGGAUGAUAGCAGAGACAUUACGUAGAAAUGUCUCUGCAUGGGAAGAAAUGCCCCUGCAUGGGAAGACCACCCUUUACAACCUACUCAUGAACUUGAAAUAAGCAGUGACUGCAGUGUUCUCCUGGUAAAGCUACUGAGAUUCAGGGACUGCUUCUUACAGCGUCUAGCUUUACUCACCUGAAUACACCAGCUGAUUCUAAAAUGGCCUAAUAACUACAUUUGGAGAAACCACAUCAUACAAAACUAUGAUGAAGCAAAUGAUUCACUCUGGUGACAGUUCCCCAGCUUAUAAGAAUGACUCAAACGGCAAGAUUCCAAAUAUGGUAGCAGUCCAGGUGAAUGCAGGGUUUGGGGUAAGGACCUCUCUAAUGACCUCUUAUGAAUGUCGCCACCUCAACAAAAUAUACUUGGAAGUUAUUGGUUUUGUGCUAUUUGUUUUCUGAAAAUGACCCUUCUCUUUCUCUUUCUUCCUUGAUCCUGCCAUCACUGGGGGGGGGGGGGGGAAGGUGNNNNNNNNNNNNNNNNNNNNNNNNNNNNNNNNNNNNNNNNNNNNNNNNNNNNNNNNNNNNNNNNNNNNNNNNNNNNNNNNNNNNNNNNNNNNNNNNNNNNNNNNNNNNNNNNNNNNNNNNNNNNNNNNNNNNNNNNNNNNNNNNNNNNNNNNAGAAAAAAAAAUCUUGGGGCGCCUGGGUGUCUCAAUCAGUUAAGCAUCCACCUUCGGCUCAGAUCACGAUCUUACAGUUCGCGGGUUCGAGCCCCGCGUCGGGCUCUGUGCUGACAGCUCAGAGCCUGGAGCCUGCUUCAGAUUCUGUCUCUCUCUCUCUCUCUCUCUCUGCCCCUCUCCCACUUGCACUCUCUCUCUCUCUUUCUCAAAAAUAAUAAACACUAAAAAAAAAAAAAGGAAUUCUUGCUCUAAGCAUUUAGAGACUUACUGAUGUAAGAACUUAUAGCUCUACUCCUUUAAGGAAUCUUACUGGGUGAUCUAAGCAUGAGCCAUGCAUCUCAGUGGGAAGAGAGAGAAAGGGAUGCGAAUUCAAUUUUAGUAGUACCGUUGGACUGAAGCGUCAGUUUGGGGAGAGCAACAGAGCAGUUGACCCAGUUCUGGGAGAAGCUAUUCUAACUGGACCCAAGACGAGCCUGUCUGGACUUGGUUAAGUUCCUCAAAUGCCAACUGUGGAAAAAGGACAUACCUUACAUCUAGAAAGGUGUAACAACUAUUAAAGGAGUAAUACUAUUAACCUCCUACAGUAACCACUUCCUCCUUUUUCUUUAGAAUUCUGUCUCCUUGAGCUUGAAUCCUUAAACACCAUGAUUUCAUCUGCUUUUUGAACAUCGUGUAAAUGGAAUCGUAGAACAUUCCUUCGUAUCUGCUUUCUUUUAUUCAGCGCUAUAGACAUGCAUCCAUGUCGUGGCAGGUAGCACAACGCUGGCCAGUACAGCAUUGUACGGACACCCCACUCCUUACGUAGCGUUUCUCCAUUAAUGUUUCCAGUUUGGGCCAUUAUGAAUAAUGCUGCUCUGAACAUUCUUGUACAUGUCUCUUAGCGCGCAUGGGCAGACGUUUCUUUGAGUAUAAAGCUAGAAGCGUGGGGCGCCUGGGUGGCGCAGUCGGUUAAGCGUCCGACUUCAGCCAGGUCACGAUCUCGCGGUCAGUGAGUUCGAGCCCUGAGUCAGGCUCUGGGCUGAUGGCUCAGAGCCUGGAGCCUGUUUCCGAUUCUGUGUGUCCCUCUUUCUCUGCCCCUCCCCCGUUCAUGCUCUGUCUCUCUCUGUCCCAAAAAAAAUAAAUAAACGUUGAAAAAAAAAAAAAAAAAGCUAGAAGCGUAAUUUCUGGGUCAGAGGGUAGGCACGCCUUCACCUUCGGUAGAUAGGUAAUGCCUAUCUGUUUUAUCUAAACUGUUUUCAAUAGUGGUUCUAAUAGUUACACGCCCAUAAACUGGAAGUUUUGGAAUGGGAAUAUAAGGCCCGUAAAAAGUAUAAUAUAAGGCCUGCAGAAGAUUUGUUUUCAGCGACCCCCCCCCUUUUUUUCCUCAGGGACAGACUGGGGAAAGCCUCAGGAUUGUUCCCCAAGGCUCACAGUGGAUGUCACCAUUGCUAUCCAUUUGAAAGAUCAGAAUCUAAGCUUGAAGUGAAUCUACCAAUAUAAUGAAAAAAAAAAAAAAAAACCCCCCCCCCCCCCCCCCCCAGGGAGCUGAGAGGUAUUCAGAAAUAAUAGUUGUGUGAACAGGGUUAGAUGGGGGUGGGGUGGUGGUAAAUGGAUCACCUGAAUGAAAUCUUUGCAGCAGUUCUCAAGCUGAGGCCUUUUAGGAAGGCCGUAGAGCUGGUCAUGGUGCCUCACAAAGUAUUUUAAAUCUUAAAUCAAAAUGCAGAAAAAUCAAACCUUUACUGAAGGUUGGAUUUCGAAAGUCUCCUGGCUUUGUUUUUGCCUGGAAUUCUAUGAAUCACUGGGAGAGAGCGCUGGCCAUUUUGGGUUAAUCGCAAGCUUUGUUUGGAAGUCACAUGUAUCUCUGAUGAACCAAAAUGGAGGAGCAUACUCUCUUAAAACUUGGGGCGCAUAGGGUGUGUAACGAUGAUGAGAUUGGCAAGACUGAAGGGUUUAUGAGGCAGAACUUGGGUGCUCUUGGCAGCCCCUGAACAUGCUCUGAUAACUGUCGGUUCCGAUAACCCUUCCUGGCCACUCUGUACUUCCUAGGGCCCUGGGGCUCCCGUGUGUGAUGACACUUUUACCCACAUUUGUGGGGCCUAGGAACCGAGCAUUCAACUAGCCUGUUAUACCAGGAUAAAAGAAAAAAAAAUCUUGGGGCGCCUGGGUGUCUCAAUCAGUUAAGCAUCCACCUUCGGCUCAGAUCACGAUCUUACAGUUCGCGGGUUCGAGCCCCGCGUCGGGCUCUGUGCUGACAGCUUGGAGCCUGGAGCCUGCUUCGGAGUCUGUGUCUCCCUCUCUUUCUGACCCCUCUCCCACUUGUGCGUGCUCUCUCUUUCUCAAAAAUAAAAAAACAAACAUUAAAAAUUAAAAGAAAAUCAUGGGGAUGAUGCGUGUCACUUCUGUAAGAAAUACCCCUUGGGAACCAGAAUGGGUGUCACCAGAUGAUGACCAGAAAAAGCCUGUAUUCAUUUUCUCCGGUUGCUUUAGCAAAUGACCAUGAACUUGGUGCCUUAAAACGGCGCACAUUUAUCGUCUCACCGUCUGCAGGUAGAAAGUCUGACACAAGCCCCGCUGGGCGAUAUGAAGGUUUUAGCAGGGCUGCGUUCCUUUCUGGAGGCUCUAGGGAAGAAUCAGUUUCCUGGCCUUCCAGCUUCUGGAGCCCACAUCCUUUGGCUUGUUGCCCCCCUUCCUCCAUCUUCAAAGCCGGCGACAACGCAGCUCUCUGACCAUUUUUUUUCUGUAGCCACGCCUCCUUCUGCCUCCCUGUUGCACUUUUAAGAACCCUGUGAUCACUCAGUGCCCACCCAUAUCGUCGGGGAGAGUCCCUUUAUUUUGCCAUCAGAGGAUUAUCAAGCCUCAUUGCACCUGCAGCCUUCAUUCCCCUUUGCUACGGAACCUAGCGUAGGCACACACACGUUCAAGGGAGGAGGGCGUCGCUCCGUUAGCCAGCCUUCCUCAGACCCUUUGAAACAAAACGGUUGAUGGGCAUAUGCCACGGAGCAGCAAAGGGGGAGGAGGCCCCGAGUGGAAGUGACCGUGCAUUGCAAUCCUGGAAAUGACAUCCUGGGGUUUCCUGAAAUAUCCCUGUCAACUUUCUGGGUAUUUUCAGGUCACCGCUUGACUUGUUGCUGAGACACCUGCUAUGCUGAGUGCCGGUACGGCAGGGCUGAACCCUUCCUCCUUGCAUCGCUGGAGGCCUGUUGUCGCAAUGUUGCCCUGAGGGUGGAGGGAGGACAAAUGCUAGAUGGAGGGACAAAAAUGCUGGAAACCAACAGGGUCAUAGCAGCUGACAAUGAAACCUCUAAAGCGUCAGAUACCAGGUGUAAGCACAUUAUACGCACGGUCUUAAUCUUGGCAGAAGCAGGUAGGAUGGAUUAUUACACCUGUUUAGGGAUGAGAAAAACAGACACGUAGCCCACGUCUCUGGCUGUCAUGACCGUGCAGUCGUGACCAAGCAGGGACAGCCAGGAAGAAGAGCUGGGCACAUUCAGGUUGGUUGGGUUUUUUUUUUUGUUUUUUUUUGUUUUUUUUGUUUUUUCUCGUGAAUCCUUAUCAUUCCGAAGGAGGUCGCUUUUCGGUGGUGUUUUCUCGGCUUUUGCUAAGCGACACCGAACACGCUUGGCUGUCUGUACCUUCUCCCUGCCAGCCUGGCAAAUGGAAGCAAGAAGUCGUUACAUUUCUAAUUGAGCAGAUUAAAAAGUGCCAGUUCCCAGGAUCGGAUGGCAGACUUGCCCUCCGUGCCACCUGGCGCCUUUGAGGCCGCAGCGAUGCUGAGAGGGGCGGGGGCCGGGGGUGGCCAAGGGAUUUAGGUCUCCUUUGUCCCCAGACUGUCUUGUUUGGGUGGGGUUGCAUCUGCUGUGGGGGGAUGGCUGUCCUGUAACGAGGCCUGUGGCGUGGCCUCGUUGGCAUGGGACCAGCCUUUCUUAGAUGGGUGUGAGCCUCCCGCCCUCUUUACGGAGCAGGCUGGUCAGAACUGUCCAGAUUGGGUUUCCAGACGGUCAUUCUGACUCUGCCUUAUUUACCACCGUGGUUCCCGGUGAUGUCUCCUCUGGAACUCCGACACAACAGAGGUAAGGUGCCUGGCUGCCACCCAGCCCAGUGUCUGAGUGUCUUCAGUUUCAGGUUUCAGAUGAUUUCCUGCGUGCUGUUGUUACCUUCCGAGGAAGUUUCUAGAAGGCAAACACCAUUCUCCUUUUCCAUAUCUCUUCUUUCAUUCACACCAAUGCUGGGACAGAAGAGGGUACAGAAAUAAUUGCUGGCUUAUUUAUUGUGGGGCUGACUUAGACCAGACAUUGAGCUAUUUGAAUGGAUUUCUGACAUAUGCAGACCGCUGGUGGAAUAGAAAGAUCAGUAACUUCUGAGCAACACAUAUAAAAUAAAAUGCUUUUUCUGCUUUAUUGAAAUAUGAUUUUCCAUUACCUACAUUGUAUCCUCUGAAACCAAGAUUCAUGUCAGCAAAUUCCUUUUUGCUAUUGUGUCAGUAAAUCUUCUCUAUCUUGAAACUGCGAUAUGCUUUCUCCUUCCUGAAAGUGGGGACCUUGUAAGCAAUUUUGUUUUCUUUAUGCCAGAGAGCUCAAAGGUACCUUGGAAACCUAGUCAGAACAAUGACAUUGAGCCUUUCAUUUGGCUCAAACUUUCUAUCUUCAGAUUAUUUUGAAGAGAGAGGAUGGAAAGGAAGAAAAGUCAAGCUGACUUUUUAGGAAAAAUAGUGAGAGACUGACUUACUGAUAAGAAAGCAUAAUUGGGAAGGUUUUUAAGAAAAUGUUUAUUUAUUUAUUUUGAGAGAGAGACAGAGAGACAGAGAGCGUUCAGGGGAGAGGCAGAGAGAAAGAGAGAGAGGGAGAAAGAGAAUCCCAAGAAGGCUGCACACUGUUAGCAGGCAGCCUGAUGUGGGGCUCGAACCCACAAACUGUGAGGUCGUGACCUGAGCCGAAACCAAGAGUCAGACGCUUAGCCGACUGAGCCACCCAGGCACCCCAGGACUUAUUUUUAAAAUAUUAUCCCUGUUACAAUUUUGAUUUUCGUCUUUCAAACCCGUUUGAUUCCCGACUCACUGACCAACCUUCUUCCUUGUUUCAUUAGAGUCCACAGGAAGCCUGGCUUCCAAGGGGCUGCCAAUGCAGACCUUCAGCCAACAGCCCCAAACUGUGGGGACUUCCCCACUGAGAUCUGGGCAGUCCCUCCUCACUCAGAUGGUGGCACACGGGGAGGCGGGAUGGGGUCCCAGCCAGGUCUGACGCCAGCUAGACCCCUCUGACAUUUAAGCCUUGACAGUAACUGCUGUAGAGACUUCAGCUUCUCAUGUUUAUUGUUCCUGAGUUUAGAACCGAAUGAUGUCUGUUGACUCCGUUUUCCAGAGUAACCUGUGCCUGAAAGCUCCUAACAGCCUCCUUAAGAUUCAUCGGGUGCAGACAAUCUUCCGUUCAGCAUGUUCAACUGUCCUGGUAACUCUGUUGUGCUCUUAGUUCAUAAUGAGCUUGUGAUCUGCUGAAACCUUGAACCCCUUUCUCUGGCUUCACAGUUAAGCCAUGUAUCCACCUCCCCGCCCCCGGCCCCCAGAGUCUAGAAGCUGGAUAUGAGUUGGAGCCAUGAUCAAUUUCCUCUUGUUACCGCUGUGAACAUUUGUGUACAAGUGGACAUAUGUCUUGAUUUCUCUUGGCUACAUACUUAGAAGUAGAACAUGGCAGCUGUAUGUCAGACUGUUUUCCCAAGUGGCUACUCCAUUUUACAUUCCCACCAGCAGUGUCCGUGGGUUCGUUUCUCCCCAACACUUGUUGUUAUCCGUCUUUUUAUUACAGCUGUACUAGAAGAGUAGGGAGUGGCACCUUACUUUGGUUUCGAUUUGCAUUGACCUGGUCAUUAAUGAUGCUGAGCACUUCUCAUGUGCUUAUUGGCCAUCUGUACAUCUUCUUUGGAGAAAUGGCUAUUCGGAUUGCCAAAUUUAAAAAAUUGGGUUGUCUUUUUAUAGUCGAGCUAUAAUAAUUCUUUUCAUAUUCGAGACAUAAGACUCUUCUCAGAUAUAUAAUUUGCGAGGCUUCUCCCCCAUUCUGUGGGUUUUCUUUUCGCUUUCCUGAUGGGGUCCUCUGAAACACACGUUUUUCAUUUUGAUGAUGUUCACUUUUUCUAUUUUUUCUUUCGUUGGCUUGUGGCUUUGGCGUCAUAUCUAAGAAACCGUUGCCUAAGGUUUUGAAUGUUUAAAAAAGCCUCAUCUGUCACCCAGUAUAUAUUUUUUCUUUUCUCCAUACUAUUAUUCUCUAAUGAGCAGACACUGUCCUUAUGAAAGUGGAUAAUAAAAUGUUGACCGACACAGGCCUGAGGACUGAGCGUGCUGGAGACAGCUAACUUCUCAUCAAAGCCCCCCUUGCCUUUCUCCAUGGUAAUGGACUUGUAGCUGCGUGCGUGUCUGCCCAGCGAGACUUCCUUUCCCAGCUGUUACAUGAGUGUGUGAGCAAGUUCUCCCCAAAGACAAGGCAUCUAAGACAGGGAGUGUGCCCCCCCCCACCUUGUGCUCUCUUCCACCUUCCUGCUGGGUGUGACCUGGGCUCCGUGUGCCCAAGCCCUAGCCACACAGACGACAAAGCCCUUGGGAAUGGGAGGGCCAACAGGACGGAAAAGCCUUGGUCCCGGGAUGGCCACAUGGAAUAGAGCUGCCCACUGGCCCAGAACUCUCGCUCCAGACUAUUACACGUGUCAGAAAGAAAUGAUUUUCUUCUCUUGUAGCCCUUGUAUUUCUUUUGGGGUGGGGGAACCUCUUACUGUGGCAGUGUAGACUUUUGCUCAACCUAAGGCUUAAGGUAAGUGGCAUGUUAUUAUAAUCAAGGUUUUUCAUAAUUGUGACUCUAUCGGCACCCUCAGUAUACGGGCAGUAAGCUGGUAAGGGUCUGCAUAGCCCCCUCUCUCUAACUCUGGCUGCAACUCUUUAUGGCAUUGUGAUCGAGUGUUUGGAUUCUGGCCUUGGCCUUCCGGGGUUCGAGCCCUAGUUUAGACCACUGAUGACUGGGCAAAUUAACCCUCAUCACUCACCUCAUUGUCUCCAUUUAAAAUGCAGAGAAUAGUAUUACCUAUGACCUAUUUCGUAAGGCGUUUCUGGAGAUCCAAUGAGUUAACAUAUCUAAUGCUCAGAGCAAGCCUGGCACAUAGUAAAACUUGCCUGCUCUGUUAUUAUUUUACAUUCUGUUCAUAAGGAUAUUGUAUAUUCCACAAACACUGAUUAACUCCUAGGAUGUGCCUUGCACUCUGAUGGGCUGCGGGCUACGGAGAAAAUGAAGGCCAGAUUCUUUCCUCAAGGGGCUGACGGCUUCAUAAGGAAGUCAGAUUUAAAAUAACAACCUAAUGGAAUUGGAGCCAUAAUAUGUAACAAAAUGUGUGGGAUCUCAGAAGAAGGACCCAUUAGCCCCAAGGCUGUGGGUAGAAAGGUGAGGGUGGGUACGAAGACGGAGGGAGGAGGGGCACCUGGGUGGCUCAGUCAGUCAAGUGUGAGACUUCGGCUCAGGUCACGAUCUCACGGUUCAUGAGUUCGAGCCCCGCAUCAGCCUCUCUGCUUUCAGCACAGAGCCCACUUUGGAUUCUCUGUCCCACCCCUGCCCCCCGCCCGUCCUCCACUGGUUCUCUUGCUCUCAAAAUAAAUAAAUAAACUUAAAAAAACUACAGAUUAAAAAAAUGAAGGAAAGAGGAUAUUUUGAAAGAGCUUGGCUGAAAUUCAGAUACACCAUUUUCCCGGAAGUUCCUGGCAUACUGAGCGCCCGAUCACAGGUGAUGCCACAGGAAGAAAGCUGUUGAUCUCAACGGACAGUCUCAUAGGUCUAAAGCAGGGCAGGUGCCGGAAAGACGCAUUUGUCUAGGUGGAUCCUAGUGCAGAGCAAGCCCUCCUGCAACCCAAGAAAAACUCAUGGUCAAGGCCUCUUUAAAAGAGAUGUUUAGGGGCGCCUGGGUGGCGCAGUCGGUUAAGCGUCCGACUUCAGCCAGGUCACGAUCUCGCGGUCCGUGAGUUCGAGCCCCGCGUCGGGCUCUGGGCUGACGGCUCGGAGCCUGGAGCCUGUUUCCGAUUCUGUGUCUCCCUCUCUCUCUGCCCCUCCCCCGUUCAUGCUCUGUCUCUCUCUGUCCCAAAAAUAAAUAAACGUUGAAAAAAAAAAAAAGAGAUGUUUAAAUAGUCAAUAAUAUUGUAAUACUGUGGUUUGGUGAGAAAUGGUGACUACACUUUUGUAGAGAAUUGUCAAAUAUCUAGGUUGUACACCUGAAACGAAUGCAACAUUGCAUUCCAACUAUACUUCAAUAAUAAUAAUAACAAUAACAAGAAUAAUGAAACAGAUGCUUAAAACACUGCUCGUUGAGAAUACACGAAAAGCGAUCAACUUACUUGGGUCAGUUGUUCAUAAUCAUAAAUCAUUCUCCCGUCCUCCCUCAACCCCUAGCCCACCAAUACACUCGACUGGAUUUGUUCCUCACUCUGCAUCCACAGUUUAGUUUUCUUCCUAAGGCAAGAGUUCUUUAUUCCGCUCCCUAUCGAGAGGGCAGAGAGUCUUGACACUGUUAAAUCCUUUUCCACAGCGGAAUGAUCUUUUUGCUUGACGUGUGUGAGUUGGUCAGUGAGAAAAUACUUCUGAUUUUUGUAUAUCUUGGGGGAGGGGAAGAGGAGAGGAGGGAGGGUCGCCCAAAGGAUAUUACAAAGCAGCUUCCCAGAGGAACCGCAAACCUGCGGGGGAAUGGUUCUAAAGCAAUCAUUUGGCUCCCUCUAGUGGGACUUUGCAGAAUUGCUUAUUCCCUCGCUGUAGUGGGUCACGCACAAACGCGCACCUGUGUGGAGAAUGGAAAAGCUACAACGACUCAGUCGCUUAACCUAAACUCUUGGCUUUGUGCCAAGGGUGGGGCAGUCGGCUGAGACAGCUUUAGGUCAAUGUAGGCAGACCCGGAGAUUAAGUGAAGGGAUAAAAUUGAUCAAACUCUAUUCCAUGCAAAAGGGAUACGGCAUUUCGGCAAUAUCCGUGUAAUUUUCUAGCCACCAAUCACCCCUCCCUCCCCACACCUAGUGCCUUAGUCUAGAGCAAAACAAAACAAAGCAAAGCAAAACAAAACAAACAUUAACUAUCUCAGGGUCUUGCCUACCCCCUCCAAAACAAAAACAAAAACACCAAACCCAAACUGCUCGGUGACUUGUAAAGGUAACGGACGCCCUCUAUUGGCACCGAUAAGUCCCACACGGGAGACUUCCCCCACUUCGUUUGGAAUUCUCACAGUAUCUACGCUCACACGAGGUUAUGUUUCUGAGCCUUUACGAGUUACAAGACCCCGCCCCCCCCAUACACACAAUAUUAGUUACACAUGUAUAACGGUUAAAAAAAGAUAGUUAAUGCUAAAGAUCCAUGAGGCUAACGCGCAAUUUGCAGUUGAUUGUGCGCACGCGUGUGUGUAUACUUGUGUAAGGGCACGUGUAUACGUGCAUGUAUGUACACGUACACUUUCUAAACCACGUACGACUUCUGAAUCACAGCUGGUCAGGGCGAUAGGGAUCGCCGAAGUUUCUCUGCCCCACGGUGGAAGCAGGCAGAGGAGGGGCUUCCGAGCUCAGCCCUGCCCAGACUCAGGGCACCGUGGCUCUCUCUGGGGUCCAGAGGGCCCGCCCCCGCAGGACAAAAGCAGGUCCAGAAAGAUUCCACGCACUUACUGCGAGUUUCCUUCUACCCAUGGAUGGGGUCAGUGAACUCCCUCCUUGGCCCCCAGGACUCCGCCUUGCCCCCCUCGAUCUGCCCGAUCUGCCCGCUUUUGAUGAUGCUGUGUUAUUAGAUGGGACCGCUGUGCCUCGAGCUCAUCAUGAUGGCAGAGUCAUGGGACACCGGGGAAGGGACAUCAGGUUUUGGAUGCCGUCCACAGACCUCGGCUUUUGUCCAGGGACUCAGGGCACGUCAGUGGCUCGUUUCUCCCAAGCUCUCAUCUCGUGUCCUCAGCCGCAGGCCGAUCUCCUCUAACCUGACUGCAGGUGGAGGGGUGGGGGGUUCACGUCAGCUCAAGGUGACCUGGUGGGAAUUGAAGAGUGGGUAACAUUCAGCUGUGGCCUCAAGGCGUCUGGGUUCUAGCAGGGGUGCGGGCCGCGGGCGAGCCGUCUAGGUAAAAUCCAGUGGCCGACGCAAAAGCAGGGAGCGACUCUGGAAUGCAGUGCUUACCAGAUUGCUGUCUUGUAAUGAUCUGUUUACACGCCUGCUAUUUAUUUUUUUUUAAUUUUUUUAAUGUCUAUUUUUGAGAGAGGAGAGAGAGAGAGAGAGAGAAAAUGCGAGCGGGGGAGGGGCAGACAGAGGGAGACACAGAAUCCGAAGCAGGCUCCAGGCCCCGAGCUGUCAGCACAGAGCCCGACGCGGGGCUCAAACCCACGGGCCGUGAGAUCACGACCUGAGCCGAAGUCGGACACUCUACCGACUGAGCCACCCAGGCGCCCCAGGGAGAGACUUUUUCAACUUCAUAAAAAUAGGACUUCCAGCACUCGUCGUGACUGUGACCACAGAGAAAAGCACCGACAGGGACGGAGUUGUCUAGCGGUUUAGCGAGUUUUAGAACUCUUCCCGAAGCAUCCUCGCAAAGGGCUAUGGGAUUGAGGACACUCUCCAGAAAUCUCGUUGGGCACGUGCCUACAUUUGGCUAAUCUUCUCGAUACCCAAGCGGAUUUACCCUGAAAGGAAAACUAGAUUUAUUGCCUUUUUGGCAAUGUCCCCGUUGUGCAUUUGAGUGACAGAAGCCCAAGAAUGAUUCCAGAAGGGAACAGAGGAAGUAAAGGGGUGGAAGAGUGAAAACCUUCAGCUGCGGUUCUGGGUGUCCAGGCUGUGGCAGCGUCCCCUCUGGUCUCGUGACCGUCACCCCUGCUGUCUGGCCUGGCCCCGGCUGAUCUGCCAUGACGUGAGGUGCACCCUGGCCUGCUCCGGGCGAGAUAACAAAUCACGGGAACAGCGACAAGAUGUUCAGGGUCACGAAGGGUUACAUGCUGCCUGGGCAACUUGCAGAUCUUAGCCGUGCCCACCCUCCACCCCCCGGAGGGCUCUCUGACAGCCAAUUAGAGCUUUUGAUUUAUUAUGGUGGCCACAGUCACCGAUCAGGCUCCCCUGUUUCCCAGCAGUGAGAACACAGAGCUUGUGCCUCCCAUGCACGGGCUUGGCGACAGGUGCUGGAAACCUCGGGUUAACGCCCACCUUGCCGGGCCCGGGGGCACAUCACCCCCAGAGUGACUGGUGAGCCAGCAGAGGCUGCAAGAGAGCCGUCGUGGGACUCCGUGGAAGGUCUGUGCGGAAGGAAUGGCACUUCACAGAUGCGUGGCAUUCUCGCUUUCCUCUCACGUCACCUCGAGGCACCAGAGGGAGCACGCCGGUGGCCCCCUGCUCGUUUUGUUUCCACAGACUGAUCUGACAGCAACUCCCUGUGCAGCCGCGGGCCAAUCGCUACCUCCUCUGGGCUUCGCUUCCUCCAUCUGGGCAAAUCAGACGUGACUUUUGCUGGUCCCUUUCGGUGCCAAUUCUAUUUCCUUCCAAUUAGACUGGAGAGUAGGCACAUCGUGAACGCUAGGUACUCUCAAAUGCCAGACUGGGCUAAAACCAUCCAUUACAUCGCAUCGUCCUUCCAACAGCCUCUGAGCCGGGUGCCGUUAUUAUCGUGUCCAAUUCUACAGAAAAGGAGACUGAGGCACAGAGGAGUUAGAGAACUCUCCUAGGGCCACAUAACUCGUACGUGGCAGAAUCAGGAUUCAAACAGUAGCUGGCCUCAGGGGCUGACCUUCAGCGGUCCUGCUGCCCCGUGAGAUCCAGGGGCCUGCCCAGGGCUGCAUGGCUGGCAAGUGGGGGGUGGGGUGCCCAGAGGCAACGCCAGGUUGUGUCUGAAUCUAAAGUCUGCCCUCGUCACUACUCUGCUAUAAAAGUUCCCGGGUGCCAUUUCUAACGGCAAACCUGGGGAGCGGAAAUGUGAACGUCCGAUGGCAGGCCAUUUACUACAUAAAUAGUGGCAUGGCCAUUCAACAUAACACGCUUUAAAAUUAUAUGGGAGAUACUCUGGUUUCUCUUCAGAUCGCAUAAAUCUUUCGCCUUUUAAAAUUAUACGCGAGAGUAUUUAUGUGAGAAGGCGUUCAAGAUGCGUUAAGUAUUAAGCGCACAAAACAGCGUGUGGCUUAGAUUCACGGCCAAUCACGGCCAGAAGGGUCAUGAAAAAGAGUGAGAUACAAUUUCUGGCCCAUGCGAUUGGGACCCACGUAAGCGGUCUGAAACCUGGCGUCUUGAAAGACUGAUACGGCUCCACCAGCAAUCCUAGCUCUGAAUACACGUCUCAAGAAACCCUUGAAGGAGGGCACACGGUAGCUUGUACAGGGGGUUUCCUUGCAGCAGUGGCUGUGAUAGUAAAAUAUUGGACACAACCGAAAUUUUAGCAGUCGUGGAAUAAAUGAAAUGUGAUCUAUUCAUACAACAGAAUGCUACAUAGCUGUUUCGGCAAAUCAGUUGGUACUACAUAAAGCAACACGGAGAUCUAAAAACUGUAGACUGGGAGUAACGGGUUUCAGAUCAAUCUGCACAGAUACUACCUUUUGUUGAAAUAAUGUAAACACAUACGCUACACACACACACACACACACAGCCUGGAAAGAGACAGAUAUAUCAAUUCACGUUAUUGAUUACUCUUGGGGAAAGAGGGACGAGAAUGGAAUUGUAAAGGUUAACCAAGAGGAUGCCAACUUUAUGUGAAAUACUCCAUUCACACACACACACACACACACACAAUUACUAGAUGUUCACAGUCGUCAAUGCUGCUGGUGAACAGUGCAGGUAUAUUAUACAUUCUGUAUGAAUUUUUUUUCAACGGUCCCCAAUAUGCUUUCAUUUUUUUUUUUUUAAAAAGGAUAUAUUUUCAUGGGAGAAAAACGAUCUCAAAAUACGCAUCGUGGCUGUCUCUGGGCAUUGGGUUACGAUGAGUUAGAUUUCCUUCUUUUGGCAUAUCUGUAUUUUCUCAAUUUCCCAAACUGAAUGUUUAUCACUCUCAUAUAAGAAAAAAAGUGAUUUGCAUGUAAAUUCUUGAAUCUAGAAUCAAUGUUAAAAAGGGAUUUAGAGCUCUGAGUGAGGGAUUUUCACCCCUGCCUGUUUGAUGGCCAGUUUCCUCCCAGGACUUGAGUGUUAGCUGUUGGGAAAAAAUAGAAUUAUGACCAACUCUCCCCUUCCUCUUCAAAAAGAAGAAUUUGAGGUCAGUGUUAACCUUUAUAAAACACAUGGGGCAGGAGUGGGCUAGCAGCUGAUCACUUUUCUGCAGAUGAGAGAAAAACAACUUCUGUCUUCACUUCUAGCUUAGAGUCUUUGUCUAAAAGAGCUUUGGCUAACCUGUGUAAAAGUUGGUUCAAAAACAUAAAUACCUUGGGGCGCCUGGGUGGCUCAGUUAAGUGUCCGACUUCAGCUCAGGUCAGGAUCUCACGGUUCGUAAGUUCGGGCCCCGCGUCGGGCUCUGUGCCGACAGCUCAGAGCCUGGAUCCUCCUCCCGAUUCUGUGUCUCCCUCUCUCUCUCUCUGCCCCUUCCCUGUUCACACUCUCUAGGUCUCUCUCAAAAAGAAAUAAACAUUAAAAAAAGAAAACAAAAAACUUAGGACAUUCUUGGAAAGGAUAGGGCACAGAGCAGGACAAGCCAGGCACAGGAUCGACAUAAGGUCAUCCGAACUCUGUACGUCGGCAACACUUUGUGCAGCCCGUGACUCAGACUAGCAGUCAGUCAUCCAGUGGAGUAUUUAGUGAGCACCUGCUGUGAACCAGGUACUGUGUAGGUCCCAGAAAAACAGCAGUGGCAUGACAGACGUGGGGAGGCCCCCUCUGAGCCCAUCACCUCCGCCAAGAGGACCAGUCUUGCCUUUGGAGAUGUCUCCAGGGCCUGCUGCUCCAAACCAAGGUGCCAUCAGACUCUGGCUUUCUAAGCCACACGUGAGACUUGCCAUUUAAACCUGCAUUCGGUUCCUCCACGAAAAGGGGUGGAGGGACCGUGGCUAAGUAGCAGCUGGGAAACCGUAUCCAGACGCCAGCAGCCCAUCAUCAAGAAAGGAAGAAUGUUAAGUAAUGACAUAAUUCAUGAAGUGCAGGUGCAGUAGGUAAUGCGAGAGAGUCCAGAGUGCGUGAGGGGAGGAUCUGACCCGGUCCCGGAGUUCACAGGUUCCCCCCCCCCCCCCGCCCCAAGGAGGCGACAGGAAGCUGAGACCCAGGAGGGAAGGUAGGGGCUUUCUUGCAGAGGCCCUGCAGGCUCCCCGCGAGAAAGAGCACAGCGCGUCUAGGGAUCCCAACAAGGCCACUAUGUCCGGAGCCUCAAGAAGGGAAAUUCACAUGCUUGGUUUCUUUCUUUCUUUCCCAGCAUUUGGCAAAGCAGUAAAAGGCUUUGUGGAGUUUUCGAGUAAAGCAGCUGACGGACACACUCUGUUUCCUGGAAGGUGCAUGGAAGUGCCCCGGGCAGCAGGCGGAACCAGGACGGGGGACAGGGACAGGGACAAUUUUGCGCCAGCCCCGCGAGGCCCCGGGGUCCCUCCGCUUGGGCCGCUGCCGGCUCCGCCUCCCGCCGCGGGGACAGCAGCCGCGUUCUCUCAGGGCCCCUCUGCACGUUUUCCCGAGCCGACUGGUUGUGAUGUCCCAGACGCGUCUUGCAGCUUCCUGGGUUGGGGUUUUAUCUUUCAAGUGGCCCAGAAAUCCCGUGUCCAAGAGCCAUCACAGAUGGGGUUCAGCUCAGCUGCACCCUAGGGUGGGGCCAAUCUGGCACUGCUAAAAAAAAAAAAACAACUGGCUUCUUGCCCCGGCAGGGCUGGCUCUGCCAUUUCUCCUGGGUUUUACGGCCAGGAUCUUCGCUAGCAGAUCAAUCUGGGAUGUUAGAUCCGUGGCACAUAACUUGAUGGGGGCAGAGGGUCCAAGUUACCUAUAAAGUAGUGCCCCAAACACAGAUUUUGGAAUCAGAAAGAUCCGGGUUCGGAUCGAACGUGGUCACUUUAACUCCUCAUCUGUAAAAUGGGAGUCCCAGUACCCAUCUCACAGGGUUGUUGUAGGGAUUCAAUGAGAUGAUACAUAUCGAAUGUUCAGCAUAGCUCCCGACAGGUGGUGUAUUCUCAGUGACCAUCUGGACCCGGGAGGAAAUUGUUUUUCCUCCCUUACUAUCCUCAGCAAAGCUGUACUGGAGCUCAGCUGCUCGGGAGACUCCACCAGGGACCUGGGAACUAUGAAGAGUUAGCGGUUAGAGCUUCAUUGGCUCAGGGGCACCUGGGCGGCUCAGUCCGUUAAGCGUCUGACUUUGGCUCAGGUCAUGAUCUCACGGUUCGCGAGCCCGCGCCCCACUUCGGCUGAGCUCGAGCCCUGCUUCGGAUAAACCCAGCUUCUCUCUUUCUCUCUCUGCCCCUUGUGGGAUUCUCUUUCUCUCUGCCCCUCACUCACUUGUGCCCUCUCUCAAAAAAAAACAAACAAAAAAACCAGAAACAAACAAACGGCCACUUCAUCAGUUUUAGUCUGGAAUUCUAAAUUCUGGGGUAAGAUUACUUCAAAUGUCUCCUUGUUUCUUUUUUUUUAUGAUCACCUGGAUCUGUUGUUUUAUUAGGGACAAAAUGCUGGUGUGAAUGUUGUAUCUGUUUAUUGUCUGGAUUACUUCUAUAAAGACAGGCCUCUCUAAAAUCAAGGAUUUGACGAUCCCCAAGUCAAGGCCCUAUAGGUAAGGCAGGAUCAGCGCUUGGGUCCUUCCUUUUAUCUGCCCAUCUCUCAGUCCACGUGGACGCUACAACAGAAUACAGUAGAUUGGGUGGCUUAUAAACCACAGAAAUGUAUUUCUCACGGCGCGGAGACUGGGAAUUCUAAGAUCAAGGCGCUGGCAGAUCCGAUGUCUGUGAAGGCCCAUUCCUGGCUGGCAGAUGGCCAUCUUGCUACGUUCUCAUGUACAGAGACGGGAAGGGAGCCCCCUGGAGUCUCUUAGAAGGGCACCAGACCCAUCCAUGACCUAAGGACUCCAGCCUCGCGACACAAUUACUGCCCAAGGCCCCACUUCCAAAUGCCGUCGCAACGGGCACUGGGUUUCAACAUAUGAAGUCUGGGGGGGAUACAAGCAUUCAGUCUGUAGCAGGCGCUUUUCAGAAUAAUGACUUGGUUAAAGUCCUCAAAAGUGGCCCAAUGGAUGUUUUAUUUUUAUCAUUGGGAACUCAAGGCGGGAACACACGUGAAGGGUUGUGCUCUCUUGUAGACGCUAAUCUUACCGACCCUCCAACUGUCCCAUCUUUAGACUGUGUGGGCCCUCUCAGUUCGGGUCUUGAGUGCUUGUGACAUGAUCGUGUUCAGGUGCUAGAUAGCCUCCUUGUCGCGAGGCUGUGACAAGAGAUUCCUGGUUCAUCUUUUACUCUCCCUGCCCCACCUCUGAGUCAUCUGAUUCUUCAAGUGGGAAAUAGUAAGAGACCAGAAACUGCUUACCCCCAUUGGAAUGUGCCUUGUUUGUAUUUAUUAUUUAUUUAUUUACAUUUAUUUAUUCUUGAGAGAGACAGACAGAGUGUGAGCAGGCAAGGGGCAGAGAGAGAGGGAGACACAGAAUCCGAAGCAGGCUCCAGGCUCCGAGCUGUCAGCACAGAGCCUGAUGCGGGGCUCGAACUCACGGGCUGUGGGAUCAUGACCUGAGCUGAAGUCGGACGCUUAACCUACUGAGCCACCCAGGUGCCCUGUUCCUUGUAUGUAUGUAUGUAUGUAUGUAUGUAUGUAUUUAUAUUGAGAGUGAGACAGCGAGCAGGGGAGGGGCAGAGAGAGGAAGGGAAACAAAGAAUUCAAAGCAGGUUCCAGGCUCCAUGCCGUCAGGGCAGAGCCCAACCCAGGCUCUGAUCCCAUGAACCGUGAGAUCAUGACCUGAGCCAAAGUCAAGACUCAGAUGCUUAACUGAGGGAGCCACCCGGGUGCCCCUGGAAUGCUCCUUGUUUUUAGACCUCUUCGAGGAUAGAAUUGGGAAAUUCUCUUUUUCAAAGAAAAAAAUAAUAAGUUUAAUAUGAUUACAUACAGGUAUUUCCAAUCAAAUUGAAACCUAUAGGGUCUUCAGUCAACCUUAUCCAUCUGACGUGGGUUUCCCCUUGCUUCCGUACCGAAAAUCCCCAUUCCCAAUGACAGUAAUGUCAUUGCCAAAAGUAUGACACUGAGAAUACUUUAACAGUUUUUCUCUCGCAGUUCUUUCUGUCCUCUGGAACAGCCCAUUAUAGAUACGCAGUCAAAUCACCACGUUUUAAAAUCACUUAAGACUGUGCCUCUCUGUGGUUAUGCUGCUAACAUGAUUCAGUUGGAUGCAUCGCUUCGCUUUGGUCUUGAUUGCUUGGGAAUUGCUUUUUUAAAUUUAAUUUUGUUUGAGAAUUAUAUAAACUAUUUUCACGGUUUCUAACGCAAAUCUACAAAGGAAUUUCCUUGGAGAAGUCUCCCUCUUUAUCAGAUCGAUACCAGGACAUUGCCCACAUUAUCCUCCACUGUGGUUUUUUUUCGCUGAACACUAUGUCCUGAAGAUCAAUACGUAAUAGCGUAUAGAGCAGCCCUUCAUUUCUUUUUAUAACUGGACAAUGCUCCAUUGUGUGCCCGAGCCUAGUUUAUUCCGUCUUCACCCUACUGAAGAACAUCUGGAUUAUUUCCAGUCUCCCUUUUACUAACCGCGUUGCACGCUCCCUGUCUUAUUUCCCCCGAUGUAUCUUUGGGAUCAAUUCCUAGGAGUGAAGUUGCCGGGUCAACGGUUGAGUGUAGGUUUUCUGAUAGAUAUUGUCAAAUUGCCCUUCGGUUGGUCGUGCCAUUUUGUAUCGUGAAAUCUGUCUCUCCAGAGUCUCACCACCAGAGCGUGCUAGCAAACGUUUGGAAUUUGCCCGUGUCAUAGGUCAGAAAUAUCUUGGUGGAGUUUUAACUGGAUUAAUUUUUCAUGCCAUUUUUUUUUUUUUUUUUUACUAUCAAGAUUCGAAUAAAGAGGAAAGAAAUGUUUUGUCUGGAUAAUCUCUUUAACCGAGCAUUACAAUCGUGACAGGUAUACAGGGUACAUUCAGGCUUCACUAGCCUGGGGCUACAACAAUGAAACCCCAUACUUUAAACCCUUUUGCUUUUAAAUUUUUUAUUUUAUUUUUGAGAGAGAGAGAGAAGGGGGGAGGGGCAGAGAGAGAGAGGGAGACACAGGAUCCGAAGCAGGCUCUGGGCUGUCAGCACAGAGCCCGACGUGGGGCUCGAACUCACAAACCUGAGAUCAUGACCCGAGCCGAAGUCGGUGCUCGACCGACUGAGCCACCCAGGUCUCCCUCUGGGAACAUACUUUAAAAGGGAUAUAGCUGGGGCAUCUGGGUGGCUUAUUUGGUUGGGCGUCCCACUUCGGCUCAGGUUCAUGAGUUCGAGCCUCGUGUCGUGCUCCGUGCCGACAGCUCAGAGCCCAGAGCCUGCUUCACAUUCUGCCUUCCUCUCUCUCUGCCCCUCUCCCGCUUGUGCUCUGUCUCUCUCAAAAAUAAAUAAACAUUUAAAAAAUUAAAAAAAAAUACUAGUGACGUGAAAAGAUUAAUUUUGAUCAAUAUUCUUUCAGAGAUUUACUUAGAACCAAACAAGAAAUUUUAUUUUAUUUUAAUGUUUAUUUAUCUUUAGAGAGAGAAAUGUAUGCUUGCAUACAAGCAGGGGAGGUGCAGAGAGAGAGGGAAAGAGAGGGAGAGAGAGAAUCCGUGAGGCUCCACAACUCACAAACUCACAAACUGUGAGAUCAUGACCUGAGCCCAGAUCAAGAGUUGGAUGCUUAACCAACUGAGCCGCCCAGGCACCUCAAGGAGGCAAUUUUAAAUUCACAGAAAACAUUAAGCAUACUGAUUGAAACGAACUAGGAACAAAAUGCCCCCACUUUAGAAACAAUUUCCUAAAAAAAAUACAUAAAUUCAUAAAAUAGUCCAAGGACUCAUAAAUAUUACAAUUCUCAUGCAAGCACGCCUAGAUUUCAAAACAAAAUCAUAGCAAGUGGAAAAAAAAAUGUUUAAAGGCUCAUAAAAGGUUGAUUUUUUUUUUUUUUUUACUAUUUACUGCUUUAUGUUUUACUAUCACUUUCAUCGAUCGGUUAUUCUGCAUCCUAAACUGUCAACCUGUGUUUAGAAUGAGCCCGAGCAUUUUUGUUAAGUGCACACUGAUCAGUGGCAGUUGGGGGGGGUCCCCGGGCUCCGGGGGCUUGCUGUCCGUGGCAAAGCACUGUGACGCUCAGCCCGGACAUUCUGGAAGUGUUGCUGAACUGAAGACCCCAGCCCACUGAGGACAUUUUGUAGAGGGUCAUGUGGUGACCAUCCCUCAAUGUGUCUUGGCAACAGGGGACACUUAGGUGGCUCCUCCCAGCCCUGCCUAUGGAUUGUCCCAGGGUCUCUGACCUUGGGGAGGAGGCCCCAGGGAGCAGCUCUGUCCAUGUGGUCGUUGUUCCGAUCUCAGAAUGAUCUUAGCAUCCGCCGCCCCUAGGGUCUGAGGGCAAGUGCCCCCUGACCAGUGAGCUGCCUUUCCCGCCUCAUAGAAGUCCUAGCCCUGCUGCAGGCCUCCGUGUCUGGUCUCCGGGGAGGUUCGGGAAGGGGAAACAAGGCGCUGUAGGAUGGCCACCCCCUUAUAUGGGGCGCUGCCAUGUUUUCUGGAGCUCUCAGGCUCUUGGGCCUGACCAUGGCCUUGGGAACGCCUCCAGGCAAAGUUAGCAAAGAACGCCUGAGGUGAAGUUGACAUCUUGCUUUUCCAAGACAGAGACCACCGAAUCCAGUUUCUGCCCACGAAGACCACCCAGGGGAGAAAGUGGGCUGAGGUUCAGGAACCUUGGGUGUCACGGCCGCCACUAGCUAGGUAAGUCUCUGCGGGGUUCAGUUUGUUUACCUGUAAAAUCCACAGGGGUUGGACCCAGUGACUUUUCAUUCUCUUCUCUGUGGCAUUUUAUGGUGCUGGGGUCUGUGACUCCGGGAAUAACGCCCACAGAGGAGUAUCUUUAGGGAAACCCAUGCUAUGGCUGGGGUCCCGGCAGCUGGGGGGAGGGGUAACAGACAGCACAGGUGCACCUGCCCCGGGCCAGGCGCUUUCUUUAGUCCCGAGCGGUGGAGACUUGAGGGGAGGACUGGUGACCCCUAGAAGCCUAUUCUCUGGAAAAGGCAUCGAGUUCGGUUCUAAAGUGAAUGAUGCGCUAAUAGAUUCUCGAACACGGAGAGAUGCCUCACAACACCUAAGAUGCCUCCGGUGAUUCCGACGGCUCCGAAUUGGGGAGGACGGUGCUCCCGAGCGAGGCUGUGCCUGAGACGGAAAUCAGUCAAGCGGCCGUGUUGAUACGGAAGUGUAGAACAUAGAUUAUUUUAAUUGCUAAUUGCUCUUGAGACCCCUACCCAGGUGUCGUCGUUGUUGGUUUUCCUAAAUGUGGCCUAAAUGUUCUCAACAGUCACGGUGAAGGAAAUUACAGUUUAUUCAGAGGCUGCCAUGUUGCUGAUGGAAGUACAAAGAGGACUCAUCAAGGUUGUUGGGUUUUUUUCACAUGGCUUUUAACAUUUACAAAGAAAAUGAUUUCGGGGGGUGCGCACUGGGAAGAAACAGGCUGUAAACAGUUACCAAGCAGCCAAAUACUCCUACGCCGGAGAGAACGUUCCCUGCACCCUCAUCUCAUCAAUUACUACCCCCUCCCUGAUAAUCGGCAUCUAAAUGUAACAGGAAGUACUCUUUUGUUCAUGACUCUCGGGGAGGAGGGCAUCCUGUCGUCGGAACACUCCAGGACCUCAUCGUGGGUGACUUCGCGGACACAAACCUCCCUCCCUUACACAGACAGGAGGCAGCCCCACGGAUGCCCCCUGUGCAGAGGAAACGACCAGAAGCUUCUCAGCCGGCCGCGAAGGCUGUCCUCCCACCCCUGCUCCCCAGAGCCAGACUCGGGGGACCCUCAGUUAGUGCGUCCUAAGGUGGGAGAAAGGUCAGAGAGUGUGAGGAGAGGAAGUUGGGCAGCCGCGAGCCUGCCGACAGCCCCUUUGAAGAAUUCCUCACUUGCUGGCGUCUUGAGAAAAUGGCCUUUUCCUGGAGUCCUCCGGCCCCAGUGGCCCCUCGCAGGCCACCUUUGCCCCGGGCGGAUGGAGAGUGCUGUUUGCGGCCUAUGCCGGGAUCAAACCAUGACAGAUAACCUUGGAGAAACAUCCUUGGGCUAUUGCUGAGGACGGGCUUGCUUUCUUUUUUUAAUCCAAGUAUAGUUAAUAUACACGUUUUAUGCGUUUCAGGUGUACAAUGUGAUGAUUUAACAAAUCUGUGAGGAACAGGCCUCUGACACCCCUCAGACCAAUGGUGGGUCCAGCAUGCCCGUGGCCACAGGGAGAACACCCGUCGGGUCAUCAGCCAGCCUUCGGGCUGGGAUUUACACCUCUGCAAGUCGCGGGAGUGCCUGCCGGGGCCCGUUCUCGACUCACCUUUUGAGCUGAGCCUGAUGGCAUCAUUCAGGACGGGAUGUGCACGCUGGUGGCGACGUGACACGGGUCCGCUCCGUCCUUUCCUAAGUCCGAUUACAGCCAACCCAACCACUGGGAUCCUUCGAUCAGCCCGAAGGAAGACAUGCUUCAGAGGAAUACCCACCAACACCAGCCAGAAGGAGCUCUCCUUACAAAAGCAGUCCUGCUCUCUUGGCCUCCCUGCAAUUUCUAAUUCGUAUUAUUACUCUAGUUUUUAUUCUACGAUUCUAAUUACUAUCCCCCCCCCCCCCCCCCCCAAUUUUGGCAUCCUCACUAUACCUCCAUUUAACUCAUCAUGUCGGAAGAAACAAGAUGGGUCACUGUAGAGAAUUCUUUCUUCCUGCGCUCGUAAUGAGCCCCGCCGGUCCCCUCGCUGUUCGUGAAGGGCACUCCCUCCACAUAAGCUGUGCGGUGUGUGGUCCUCUCUGCCCAAAUGCUCUUCCCUCACCUGCAAGUUUUCUCAGUGAGGCAUUCCCCUAGUUACCCAAUCGAAAAUUAUAACCCACCCGAUGUGUCCCAUCCGCCUCCACACUUGGCUUUUCUCCACAGCUCUCAGCGCUGGCUAAAAUCUUAUUAUACUUAUUAAUUUAGCCGAUUGCCUACCUCCUCUACCUCUACGGAAGCUCCAAAUGAGGGCAGGAGCCCAGAGACUUCAUCUGUGUUGUUGACUGCCGUGUCUCCGGUAACUAGAAAAGAGCCCAGCGAACAGCAAGUACCCCUUCAACAUCUGUUGGAUAAAAACUUGAGUGGAUGAGUGACGUCGGCUGAACCACCCCCCACACCCAGGCAGCCCAGCCUUCUCUGAGUGUGAAGGGCCCUCGCUUCCUGUGAGAGUCCUGCCCCCACUGCACCCAACAUGUCUUGAAGACGUCUCUUACAUCUCGCAGGUCUAGCAAUGUGAUUCGAAAAAUCAGUAUGUUUCGUGCAGGUUCUGUUUUGUCUUGAACAGGAGGGACCUUCAAAGAAUCUAAUUUUUCAUGCUGAUCAAAGAGAAAGCUAAAUUUUAUUCUUUUGAUACCAUUUUAAUAAUGAAUGUAUGACUAAAUUCAUUGUUAGUAAUUUGCUUAAUGUUCUCACAUAUAUUUUCUUAGGUAAAAUCGGUUUAUACAUCUCCUUCCUCUACGUUAUCCUCUACCUUUGACAGGAUCUAAUGUCACUGUUGUGUUAUUUUUGCAAAUAUUAAAUCUACUAUGGAUAUGGCUUAGGAAUUGGAGGUUUGAAGGAAUUUGUUCAUGAAACUCUCCAGGUCCAGAGUUAUUUUUGAGAGGCAACUAUGAGUAAUUUCUCUUUGCGUAUUAGUCUAUUCAGAUAUUAAGAUCUUCUUGGAGCGCCCGGCUGGCUCAGUCGGUACAGUGCGCGACCCUUGAUCUCAGAGUUUAACUUCAAGCCCCACAUUGCGUGUGGAGAUUACUUAAUAAUAAAAUCUCUUUUUUUCAAAAAAAGAUCUUCUUGUAACAAUUUUUUAAUUUAAUAUUUCCCAUAAAAAUCACAUUAUUUGAAUGGAAAGGCAGCCUACUGAAUGGGAGAAGAUAUUUGUAAAUCAUAUAUCCAAUAAGGAGUUAAUAUCUAAAAUAUACAAAGAACUCAUACAACUCAACACCAAAAAAUAAAUAAUCCAAUAAAAAAUGGGCAGAGGGUUUAGACAUUUUUCCAAAGGAGACACAUAGAUGGCCAUCAGACACAUGAAAAGACACUCAACAUCACUAAUCAUCAGGGAAAUGCAAAUCAAAACCACAAUGAUACAUCACCUCACACCAGUCAGAAUGGCUGAUGUCAGAAAGACAGGUGUUGGCAAGGAUGUGGAGAAAGAGGAACCCUUGUGCACUACCGGUAGGAAUGUAAAUUGGUGCAGAAACUGUGGAAAUAGUAUGGAAGUUCCUCAAAUAUUAAAAAGAGGAAUAAUAUCAUACAAUACAGUAAUUCCACUUCUGGGUAUUUACCCGAAGGAAAUGAAAACAUGAAUUUAAAAGGAUACAAGCACCCAUAUGUUUAGUGGAGCAUUAGUUACGAUAGACAAGAUCUGCCAGCAACCCCAGGGUCCACUGAUAGACAAAUGGACACCCACCCCCACCCCCACACUGGAAUAUUACUUAGCCAUAAAAAAGGAUGGCAUCUUGCCAUUCACAACAACGUGCCUGGAACUAGAGGGUAUUAUGCUAAGUGAAAUAAGUCAGGUAAACACAAAUAGCAUAUGAUCUCAUUUAUCUGUGGAAUCUAAAAAACAAAUGAAUAAACAAGCAGAAAUACACUCACAAAAAUAGAGACCUGGUGGUUGCCCGAGCAGAGGGGGGUGCGAGGAUGGGUGAAAGAGGUGAAGGAGAUUAAGAGCUGCACACUCACACUCCCAGGAACAAAAUAAGUAAGUCACAGGGAUAAAGAACACAGCAUAGAGAAUACAGUCAAUAAUACUGUAAUAAUUUUGUGUCUGUGACAGAUGGUGACCACUUAACCUUAGUGAGCAUUUUGUAAUGUACGUAACUGUCAAAUCAGCAUGUUAUAUAUCCACUAUGUUAUACACCUAAUGUAAUGUUGUAGGUCAACUAUAUACUUCAAUUAAAAAUACCCCACACGUUUCAUCUGUAUUUUCCAGUUGAGCUCUAACAAGCAUGUGUUAACAAUUCUAAAAUCUCCUGUUACCUGUUUUUAUACUCCACAUUUCAUUUCUGUUUUAGUUCAGAUGAACAUUCUCUCUUCUUGAUUAAAAUGAC